GGAUUAAGAUGGGCAUGCGUGUCAUUAGCUAGUUGGCGGGGUAACGGCCCACCAAGGCGACGAUGACUAGGGGAUCUGAGAGGAUGACCCCCCACACUGGUACUGAGACACGGACCAGACUCCUACGGGAGGCAGCAGUAAGGAAUAUUGGUCAAUGGAGGCAACUCUGAACCAGCCAUGCCGCGUGCAGGAAGACAGCCCUCUGGGUCGUAAACUGCUUUUAUUCGGGAAUAAACCACAUUACGUGUAAUGUGCUGAAUGUACCGAAGGAAUAAGGAUUGGCUAACUCCGUGCCAGCAGCCGCGGUAAUACGGAGGAUCCAAGCGUUAUCCGGAUUUAUUGGGUUUAAAGGGUGCGUAGGCGGCUUAUUAAGUCAGGGGUGAAAGACGGUGGCUCAACCAUCGCAGUGCCUUUGAUACUGAUGAGCUUGAAUACACUAGAGGUAGGCGGAAUGUGACAAGUAGCGGUGAAAUGCAUAGAUAUGUCACAGAACACCGAUUGCGAAGGCAGCUUACUAUGGUGUGAUUGACGCUGAGGCACGAAAGCGUGGGGAUCAAACAGGAUUAGAUACCCUGGUAGUCCACGCCCUAAACGAUGAAUACUCGCUGUUAGCGAUAUACAGUUAGCGGCUAAGCGAAAGCGUUAAGUAUUCCACCUGGGGAGUACGCCCGCAAGGGUGAAACUCAAAGGAAUUGACGGGGGCCCGCACAAGCGGAGGAGCAUGUGGUUUAAUUCGAUGAUACGCGAGGAACCUUACCCGGGCUUGAAAGUUAGUGAAUCAUUUAGAGAUAGAUGAGUCCGCAAGGACACGAAACUAGGUGCUGCAUGGCUGUCGUCAGCUCGUGCCGUGAGGUGUUGGGUUAAGUCCCGCAACGAGCGCAACCCCUAUGUUUAGUUGCCAGCACGUUAUGGUGGGGACUCUAAACAGACUGCCUGUGCAAACAGAGAGGAAGGAGGGGACGACGUCAAGUCAUCAUGGCCCUUACGUCCGGGGCUACACACGUGCUACAAUGGAUGGUACAGAGGGCAGCAAGCUGGCAACAGCAAGCGAAUCUCAAAAAGCCAUUCACAGUUCGGAUAGAGGUCUGCAACUCGACCUCUUGAAGUUGGAUUCGCUAGUAAUCGCGUAUCAGCAAUGACGCGGUGAAUACGUUCCCGGGCCUUGUACACACCGCCCGUCAAGCCAUGGAAGUUGGGGGUACCUAAAGUAUGUAACCGCAAGGAGCGUCCUAGGGUAAAACCGAUAACUGGGGCUAAGUCGUAACAAGGUA
This 1271-nucleotide ribosomal RNA is filed under the name metagenome. Its description in RNAcentral is "bacterial SSU rRNA". It matches the Rfam family "Bacterial small subunit ribosomal RNA", at positions 217 to 1498 of the family's 1533-position model. The record is from RNAcentral.